RNAcentral lists this ribosomal RNA (1268 nucleotides) under Bradyrhizobium japonicum. Its description in RNAcentral is "bacterial SSU rRNA". It matches the Rfam family "Bacterial small subunit ribosomal RNA", at positions 102 to 1406 of the family's 1533-position model. The record is from RNAcentral. Lineage: Bacteria; Pseudomonadati; Pseudomonadota; Alphaproteobacteria; Hyphomicrobiales; Nitrobacteraceae.
ACGGGUGAGUAACGCGUGGGAACGUACCUUUUGGUUCGGAACAACUGAGGCAGACUUGAGCUAAUACCGGAUAAGCCCUUACGGGGAAAGAUUUAUCGCCGAAAGAUCGGCCCGCGUCUGAUUAGCUUGUUGGUGAGGUAAUGGCUCACCAAGGCGACGAUCAGUAGCUGGUCUGAGAGGAUGAUCAGCCGCAUUGGGACUGAGACACGGCCCAAACUCCUACGGGAGGCAGCAGUGGGGAAUAUUGGACAAUGGGGGCAACCCUGAUCCAGCCAUGCCGCGUGAGUGAUGAAGGCCCUAGGGUUGUAAAGCUCUUUUGUGCGGGAAGAUAAUGACGGUACCGCAAGAAUAAGCCCCGGCUAACUUCGUGCCAGCAGCCGCGGUAAUACGAAGGGGGCUAGCGUUGCUCGGAAUCACUGGGCGUAAAGGGUGCGUACGCGGGUCUUUAAGUCAGGGGUGAAAUCCUGGAGCUCAACUCCAGAACUGCCUUUGAUACUGAGGAUCUUGAGUUCUGGAAAGGUGAGUGGAACUGCUAGUGUAGAGGUGAAAUUCGUAGAUAUUCACAAGAACACCAGUGGCAAAAGCGGCUCAUUGGCCCGAUACUGACGCUGAGGCACGAGAGCGUGGGGAGCACACAGGAUUAGAUACCCUGGUAGUUCACGCCGUAAACGAUGAAUGCCAGCCGUUAGUGGGUUUACUCACUAGUGGCGCAGCUAACGCUUUAAGCAUUCCGCCUGGGGAGUACGGUCGCAAGAUUGAAACUCAAAGGAAUUGACGGGGGCCCGCACAAGCGGUGGAGCAUGUGGUUUAAUUCGACGCAACGCGCAGAACCUUACCAGCCCUUGACAUCUCCAGAACAGUUUGCAGAGAUGGCCUUUUCUUUUUGGGGCCAAAAGCACAGGUGGUGCAUGGUUGUCGUCAGCUCGUGUCUUGAGAUGUUGGGUUAAGUCCCGCAACGAGCGCAACCCCCCUCUUUAGUUGCCAUCAUUUAGUUGAGCACUCUAAGGAGACUGCCGGUGAUAAACCGCGGGAAGGGGGGGGGGAAGUCCAAUUCUCCUGGGCCCCUUGAGGGGGGGGUCCACACGGGUUCCAAAGGCGGUGCCAAGGGGAGGUUAACGGGGGACCCCUUUCAAAUCUCAAAAAACGCUCUCAGUUCGGAUUGUGGUCUGCAACUCGAGCCCAUGAAGUUGGAAUCGCUAGUAAUCGUGGAUCACCACGCCACGGUGAAUACGUUCCCGGGCCUUGUACACACCGCCCGUCACACCACG